GACGAACGCUGGCGGCGUGCUUAACACAUGCAAGUCGAACGGAAAGGCCCUGCUUUUGUGGGGUGCUCGAGUGGCGAACGGGUGAGUAACACGUGAGUAACCUGCCCUUGACUUUGGGAUAACUUCAGGAAACUGGGGCUAAUACCGGAUAGGAGCUCCUGCUGCAUGGUGGGGGUUGGAAAGUUUCGGCGGUUGGGGAUGGACUCGCGGCUUAUCAGCUUGUUGGUGGGGUAGUGGCUUACCAAGGCUUUGACGGGUAGCCGGCCUGAGAGGGUGACCGGCCACAUUGGGACUGAGGUACGGACCAGACUCCUACGGGAGGCAGCAGUGGGGAAUAUUACACAAUGGGCGGAAGCCUGAUACAGCAACGCCGCGUGCGGGAUGACGGCCUUCGGGUUGUAAACCGCUUUCGCCUGUGACGAAGCGUGAGUGACGGUAAUGGGUAAAGAAGCACCGGCUAACUACGUG
Molecule: ribosomal RNA, 468 nt
Filed under: uncultured bacterium
Lineage: Bacteria
Description: partial 16S ribosomal RNA
Rfam family: Bacterial small subunit ribosomal RNA
Source: RNAcentral